Molecule: ribosomal RNA, 588 nt
Filed under: uncultured bacterium
Lineage: Bacteria
Description: bacterial SSU rRNA
Rfam family: Bacterial small subunit ribosomal RNA
Source: RNAcentral
UCCUACGGGAGGCAGCAGUGGGGAAUAUUGCACAAUGGGGGGAACCCUGAUGCAGCAAUGCCGCGUGUGUGAAGAAGGCCUGCGGGUUGUAAAGCACUUUCAAUUGGAAAGAAAAGGAGUUGGCUAAUACCCGACUUUCUUGACGUUACCUUUAGAAGAAGCACCGGCUAACUCCGUGCCAGCAGCCGCGGUAAUACGGAGGGUGCGAGCGUUAAUCGGAAUUACUGGGCGUAAAGCGUACGUAGGCGGUUGGGUCAGUCAGAUGUGAAAGCCCCGGGCUUAACCUGGGAACUGCGUUUGAUACUGCCUGACUGGAGUGUGGUAGAGGGAAGUGGAAUUCCGGGUGUAGCGGUGAAAUGCGUAGAUAUCCGGAGGAACACCGGUGGCGAAGGCGGCUUCCUGGACCAACACUGACGCUGAGGUACGAAAGCGUGGGUAGCAAACAGGAUUAGAUACCCUGGUAGUCCACGCUGUAAACGAUGUCAACUAGCCGUUGGGGACUUUAUGUUUUUAGUGGCGCAGCUAACGCGAUAAGUUGACCGCCUGGGGAGUACGGCCGCAAGGUUAAAACUCAAAGGAAUUGACGGA